UGGGGAAUAUUGCACAAUGGAGGGAACUCUGAUGCAGCGACGCCGCGUGAGUGAUGAAGGAAUUCGUUUCGUAAAACUCUGUUCUAUGGGAAGAAAAGGACUGUACCAUAGGAGAAAGCUCCGGCUAAAUACGUGCCAGCAGCCGCGGUAAUACGUAUGGAGCGAGCGUUGUCCGGAAUUAUUGGGCGUAAAGGGUGCGCAGGCGGCUUUACAAGUUGGAUGUGAAAUAUUGUGGCUCAACCACAAACGUGCAUCCAAAACUGCAAAGCUUGGGUUAAGGAGAGGUAAGUGGAAUUCCUGGUGUAGCGGUGGAAUGCGUAGAUAUCAGGAGGAAUACCGGUGGCGAAGGCGACUUACUGGACUUAAACUGACGCUCAGGCACGAAAGCGUGGGGAGCAAACAGG
Molecule: ribosomal RNA, 404 nt
Filed under: Fusobacteriota bacterium
Lineage: Bacteria; Fusobacteriati; Fusobacteriota
Description: Fusobacteria bacterium partial 16S ribosomal RNA
Rfam family: Bacterial small subunit ribosomal RNA
Source: RNAcentral